Molecule: ribosomal RNA, 495 nt
Filed under: uncultured bacterium
Lineage: Bacteria
Description: partial 16S ribosomal RNA
Rfam family: Bacterial small subunit ribosomal RNA
Source: RNAcentral
GAUGAACGCUGGCGGCGUGCCUAAUACAUGCAAGUCGAGCGAACAGACGAGGAGCUUGCUCCUCUGACGUUAGCGGCGGACGGGUGAGUAACACGUGGAUAACCUACCUAUAAGACUGGGAUAACUUCGGGAAACCGGAGCUAAUACCGGAUAAUAUAUUGAACCGCAUGGUUCAAUAGUGAAAGACGGUUUUGCUGUCACUUAUAGAUGGAUCCGCGCCGCAUUAGCUAGUUGGUAAGGUAACGGCUUACCAAGGCAACGAUGCGUAGCCGACCUGAGAGGGUGAUCGGCCACACUGGAACUGAGACACGGUCCAGACUCCUACGGGAGGCAGCAGUAGGGAAUCUUCCGCAAUGGGCGAAAGCCUGACGGAGCAACGCCGCGUGAGUGAUGAAGGUCUUCGGAGCGUAAAACUCUGUUAUUAGGGAAGAACAAAUGUGUAAGUAACUAUGCACGUCUUGACGGGACCUAAUCAGAAAGCCACGGCUAACUACG